Molecule: long non-coding RNA, 1155 nt
Filed under: Strigops habroptila (Kakapo)
Lineage: Eukaryota; Metazoa; Chordata; Aves; Psittaciformes; Psittacidae
Description: lncRNA (ENSSHBG00005015526.1)
Source: RNAcentral
UGUUUUACAGUUUUUUGUUUAUUUUCAAGGAAAAAAAAAUAAUAAUCACAUUUAAAUUGCAACUCAAUUGGGGAUUUAAUGUGGUUCUUAUGUAUAGAAUCAAUAAACUUUGUUCUGAUGUGGGGAUUCAUUUGUUGCAACAUUAUGCAUGGUAAAUAAUUGCAUAUUCAAGAUUUUGUGAAAUGGGUGAUGGGGAGAAUGGAGGGGAGACAUUUAUAAAAAACAUUAUUUACAAAAAAUGAUAUCCACAUAGUCGUCUUCUAAUCUAUAAGGCAAGUAAACAUUUAAAAUAUGUUGUUUCAUGAUUAUCUUCAACAAGUCAAUACAACACAUUCAUAUUACCAGUGGUCAAAUACAAAGCUUUGCUGCAAGAGUCCGUGUGCAACAAACCUGUACGUCUUUUACAGUGUUUUUUUCUCUGAGAACAGUAGGUAAGCAGCAAAGUUUUCAUCACAGACUAAGCAGUACCUAGGCCAUCAUAGACUAAAGGUAUAAUAUAUCUCAUUGCACGUUUAGGCAAAAAAGGCCAGCCAUUAAUUAACUUAUUUAACUUAAAUCUUAAAAAUAGACCUGUGUAUCUUAAUCCACAAAUAUUUAUAAACAUUUUAUACAUGAGGGAGUUCAUAAAAUGAUAUGGGGCGAUACCUGGGGAAAUCCAAUUCAAUUCUGGGGCAUCCUCUGAGUUCAGAGGUGUCACAUGUAUUGAAGUGGUUUUCUCACGUAGAUGUUGGGUGUUUGGGUAACAGACCCAUGGGCUGUAUUUCCAAAAUAAUAAGAUGAAAUGGAGCAGGAUUCCUUUUGCAAUGCACUGUGCCAUGUGCCUGGAAAAAGGAAACUGCCUUCCUUCCCUAUCCUUCCCUGCCUGGCCAAAACAGGAUGUCAUUUUAGCAUAAAACUUCUUUUUUCCAUCUAUGUUUUAAAACCAUCUAAUAGAUAAAUCCUGAAACGGCACACUGAAGACAAAAUUAACUGAAACACCAGAUAACAGCACUAGCAUCAUUGAGACCAGCCUGUGUCAGGAGUUGUGUAACUUACUCAGUACGAGAUCAUGCUCAUGUAACAAAGCUUUUGGGAGUGAAACCACACAUGUACACACGGAGAACUCACACCAACUGGGCAGGAAUAGGAGUUUAAUGGACAGUGGCCUCCCAGCAA